UCCGAGUUGACCCCGGCAGUCUCCUGCGAGUCCCCGCCAUUACGCGCUGGCAACACAGGACAAGGGUUGCGCUCGUUGCGGGACUUAACCCAACAUCUCACGACACGAGCUGACGACAGCCAUGCACCACCUGUAUACCGACCACAAGGGGGGCCGUAUCUCUACGGCUUUCCGGUAUAUGUCAAACCCAGGUAAGGUGGGGAUGACGUGUCGUUACCUUA
Molecule: unclassified non-coding RNA, 221 nt
Filed under: uncultured Nocardiaceae bacterium
Lineage: Bacteria; Bacillati; Actinomycetota; Actinomycetes; Mycobacteriales; Nocardiaceae
Description: contains 16S-23S intergenic spacer region
Source: RNAcentral